Molecule: unclassified non-coding RNA, 300 nt
Organism: Callithrix jacchus (white-tufted-ear marmoset)
Lineage: Eukaryota; Metazoa; Chordata; Mammalia; Primates; Cebidae
Rfam family: Metazoan signal recognition particle RNA
About the family: The signal recognition particle (SRP) is a universally conserved ribonucleoprotein.
Source: Ensembl
GCCGGGCAUGGUGGCACAUGCCUGUAGUCCCAGCUACUCAGGAGGCUGAAAUGCGAGGAUUGCUUGAGCCCAGGAGUUCUGGGCUGUAGUGCGUUAUGCCGAUUGGGUGUUUGCACUAAGUUUGGCAUCAAUAUGGUGACCUCCCGGGAGCAGGGGACCACCAGGUUGCCUAAGGAGAGGUGAACUGGCCCAGGUCAGAAACGGAGCAGGUCAAAACUCCCGUGCUGAUCAGUAGUGGGAUCGCUCCUGUGAAUAGCCAUUGCACUCCAGCCUGGGCAACAUAGCGAGACCCUGUCUCUU